RNAcentral lists this ribosomal RNA (455 nucleotides) under uncultured Cellulomonas sp. Its description in RNAcentral is "bacterial SSU rRNA". It matches the Rfam family "Bacterial small subunit ribosomal RNA", at positions 925 to 1382 of the family's 1533-position model. Lineage: Bacteria; Bacillati; Actinomycetota; Actinomycetes; Micrococcales; Cellulomonadaceae. The record is from RNAcentral.
ACAAGCGGCGGAGCAUGCGGAUUAAUUCGAUGCAACGCGAAGAACCUUACCAAGGCUUGACAUACACCGGUAACGCCCAGAGAUGGUGCCCCUUGUGGUCGGUGUACAGGCGGUGCAUGGUUGUCGUCAGCUCGUGUCGUGAGAUGUUGGGUUAAGUCCCGCAACGAGCGCAACCCUCGUCCUAUGUUGCCAGCGGGUCAUGCCGGGGACUCAUGGGAGACUGCCGGGGUCAACUCGGAGGAAGGUGGGGAGUGACGUCAAAUCAUCAUGCCCCUUAUGUCUUGGGCUUCACGCAUGCUACAAUGGCCGGUACAAAGGGCUGCGAUACCGCGAGGUGGAGCGAAUCCCAGAAAGCCGGUCUCAGUUCGGAUUGGGGUCUGCAACUCGACUUCAUGAAGUUGGAAUCGCUAGUAAUCGCGGAUCAGCAUGCCGCGGUGAAUACGUUCCCGGGCCUU